This 253-nucleotide ribosomal RNA is filed under the name uncultured bacterium. RNAcentral's name for it is "partial 16S ribosomal RNA". It matches the Rfam family "Bacterial small subunit ribosomal RNA", at positions 524 to 776 of the family's 1533-position model. The record is from RNAcentral.
UACGUAGGCAGCAAGCGUUGUUCGGAGUUACUGGGCGUAAAGGGUGUGUAGGCGGUCUUCUAAGUUUGGUGUGAAAUCUCCCGGCUCAACUGGGAGGGUGCGCCGAAAACUGGGAGGCUAGAGUGCGGGAUGGGAGAGUGGAAUUCCUGGUGUAGCGGUGAAAUGCGUAGAUAUCAGGAGGAACACCUGUGGUGUAGACGGCUCCCUGGACCGCAACUGACGCUGAGACACGAAAGCGUGGGGAGCGAACAGG